RNAcentral lists this unclassified non-coding RNA (148 nucleotides) under soil metagenome. RNAcentral's name for it is "partial internal transcribed spacer 1". The record is from RNAcentral.
CACGAAGAGGCCUCCAUCGGUCUUUCAACCUUGCCUAUCGUACCCUUUUUGUUGUUCCCUCGGCGGGGUAAAGCCCGCCGGCGGGAAGCUCGAAAAACCCUUUGCAAUCAGCAUCCAAAAACUCUGACUACAAAACCUUAAAUCGUUA